UACGAAGGGGGCGAGCGUUGUUCGGAUUUACUGGGCGUAAAGGGCGCGCAGGCGGCCUUAGUAGUCAGGCGUGAAAGCCCCGGGCUUAACCUGGGAAUUGCGCUUGAUACUCUGAGGCUAGAGUACGGGAGAGGAGAGUGGAAUUCCCAGUGUAGAGGUGAAAUUCGUAGAUAUUGGGAAGAACACCGGUGGCGAAGGCGGCUCUCUGGACCGUAACUGACGCUGAGGCGCGAAAGCGUGGGGAG
RNAcentral lists this ribosomal RNA (245 nucleotides) under uncultured Skermanella sp. Its description in RNAcentral is "partial 16S ribosomal RNA". It matches the Rfam family "Bacterial small subunit ribosomal RNA", at positions 524 to 768 of the family's 1533-position model. Lineage: Bacteria; Pseudomonadati; Pseudomonadota; Alphaproteobacteria; Rhodospirillales; Azospirillaceae. The record is from RNAcentral.